GUUUAUUUUAUUAAUCUAUUUUUUAACUGGGUAGGGAUUGCUUUUGUAAUUAGAAAAAUUAUUAAAAACUCUCUUUAAUUAGGAAGAUUAUGUAAAGCUGUAAAGCAAAUUUAUUUUGCAUUUCAGAGGCUGUUUCUUUAUCUUGCUCUCUCUCCUGUGGCAGAUUUUAUGGCCGGAAGAUGGUGAAUAUCUUGAUGGCGAACACUAAGUUUGAUGCAUUUCUGAAGCAAUCUCUCCCAUCUUACGACUUGCAGAAGGUCAUGGCGGCCAUUAAACAGCGGGGAAUAGAAGAUAAUGAUGAACUUCCCUCUGCCAAAGGCCGCAAGGUGUUGAGGAGUCUGGUGGUGUGUGAGAACGGGCUGCCCAUCAAGGAGGGGCUCAGCUGCAAUGGCCCAAGGCUGGUGGGGCUGCGCUCCACACUGCAGGGCCGCGGGGAGAUGGUGGAGCAGCUACGGGAGCUGACGCGGCUGCUGGAGGCCAAGGACUUCCGGUCCCGGAUGGAAGGCGUGGGGCAGCUCCUGGAGCUCUGCAAGGCCAAGCCGGAGCUUGUCGCUGCCCACCUGGUCCAGGUCUUUGAUGCUUUCACCCCAAGGCUUCAGGAUUCCAACAAGAAAGU
Molecule: small RNA, 616 nt
Filed under: Pan troglodytes (chimpanzee)
Lineage: Eukaryota; Metazoa; Chordata; Mammalia; Primates; Hominidae
Description: retained intron
Source: RNAcentral